Molecule: ribosomal RNA, 775 nt
Filed under: uncultured Neocallimastigales
Lineage: Eukaryota; Fungi; Neocallimastigomycota; Neocallimastigomycetes; Neocallimastigales
Description: partial large subunit ribosomal RNA
Rfam family: Eukaryotic large subunit ribosomal RNA
Source: RNAcentral
UAUGUGAUCGUCUCUCGCAUAUCAAUAAGCGGAGGAAAAGAAACUAACAAGGAUUCCCCUAGUAACGGCGAGUGAAGCGGGAAGAGCUCAAAUUUGAAAUCUUAAAGGGUUUCCCUUUACGAAUUGUAGUUUAAAGAAGUGUUUUCUGUUGAGGUUUUGGUAAAAGUUCUUUGGAAUAGGACAUCAUAGAGGGUGAGAAUCCCGUAUUUGACCUUUACUUUCAACUUUGUGAUACACUUUCAAAGAGUCGGAUUGUUUGGGAAUGCAGUCCAAAAUGGGUGGUAAAUUUCAUCUAAAGCUAAAUAUUGGCGAGAGACCGAUAGCGAACAAGUACCGUGAGGGAAAGAUGAAAAGAACUUUGAAAAGAGAGUUAAACAGUACGUGAAAUUGUCAAAAGGGAAGCGUUUGACACCAGUGUUGUUUUUCUGAAAAUCAAUUAAAGAACUGUUUAUGCUAAGUUGUUUAGACUUUAUCAGCUAUCUGCUUAGUUUUGAGCUUUUCUUUAAUGCACUUUUCAGUUAACAAGUCAACAUCAAUUUCUUUUGCUGUAAAAAAGCUUGAGGAAGGUGGCUUGAGAUUCGUCUUAAGUGUUUAUAGCCUCUUGCCUAUGCAGUCGGAGAGAUUGAGGUCUGCAGCGUAGAUCCUUCGGGGCUAAAUGCAUUUGUGCUAAGUUAUAGCAUUUUAUAGACAACUUUGUUGACUAUGAUUUGUCUUGUAGCUUACUCGCUUAUGUUAUUUUACCUACGCUUAGGAUGUUGAUCUACAGAGCGAGAGU